GUCCGCUGUCCAAGAACCUCCUGCUCCUUCUCUCUCAACAAUGUGGUCUCUCUCUCUUCUCAGUUGGUUUCCGUGCGACCACAGACCUCACGAGUUUUCGUAAGGUAAAACCAAGCCGCCACUUGCUAUUUCAGGUGUUCCCAGCUUUUAAAGGCUUAAACACCAAUUAGAUUAAGAGUAGGAGUCCCAAACAACCCCAAAUAACCCCC
This 209-nucleotide long non-coding RNA is filed under the name Elaeis guineensis (African oil palm). RNAcentral's name for it is "long non-coding RNA (EGUI_LNC036253)". Lineage: Eukaryota; Viridiplantae; Streptophyta; Magnoliopsida; Arecales; Arecaceae. The record is from RNAcentral.